GUCACACCGAACUUAAGAAAAUAUUGGAUUAAUAUUGACCCGGGGAACCAUUGCACGUCAAUGAGAAGUCAAUACCUUCUAUGCUUGCAAGUUGCAGCCAUAUUUAUAUCUUCCUGCUUUGAACAUGAAAGCAGAAAAAUUAAACUCACUCCCUGAUGUACCCUCUUUCUUUCAUGUUUGUGAUUGCUAAUUUACUGCUUUUCUUUUCUCAGUUCUCAGAUGCAACUGAUACACUUGCUUUAUCCCAGUCUCUUGCCGAUGGCAGUACUUUAGUUUCGGAAGAUGGAAGUUUCGAGCUUGGUUUCUUCAGUGCUGGUAGUUCCAGGAACCGUUAUUUGGGAAUUUGGUACAAAAAUAUCCCUGUCAAAACCGUUGUUUGGGUUGCGAACCGGAGUAGUCCGAUUAACGAUACCUUCGGCUUGUUAAUGAUAAACAACUCCGGCAAUCUCACACUACGUAGCAAGAACAUGGGUAAUGUUGUUUGGUCAUCAAACUCGACGAAAGCUGCCCUAAAGAGCCCAGUAUUACAGCUACUGGAUUCUGGGAAUCUGGUGUUAAGAGAAGGAAAUGGUGAAAACUCUGGAAUCUACAUAUGGCAGAGUUUUGAUUAUCCAACUGACACAUUGCUACCAGGGAUGAAGUUUGGAGUGAACUUAAAGACCGGACUUGAUCGGCGUCUUACAUCGUGGAAAAGCACGGAUGAUCCAUCUCCUGGAGAUUUUGUUUGGAAGAUGCAACCACAUGGUAACCCAGAGUACAACAUAUUGAAAGGUUCAAAAAUCUAUUUUCGAUCAGCCCCAUGGAAUGGCAUCUCAUACAGUGGUAAUCCACAGUUAAGGUCUAACAAUAUUUUUAACUUUUCCUUUGUGAAUACCGAGGAGGAGAUUUACUACAUAUACUACCUCGAAAAGAAAUCUGUAAUUUCAAGGAUUGUAAUCAACCAAACUAGCUAUAGGCGCGAGCGCUACACGUGGGAUGAAGCCUCUGCGUCUUGGAAUCUAUAUGCAUAUGUACCAAAUGAUUAUUGCGACUUCUAUAACCAUUGCGGUCCCUAUGGAAAUUGCAUCGUUGAUGCGUCGCCCAUUUGUCAAUGUUUGAAAGGUUUCGUGCCUAAAUCACCAGAUCAGUGGAACUCAGGGGCUUUGUCUGAUGGCUGCAAGCGCAACAAGUCAUUAGGAUGCAGCGAGGGCACUGGAGAUGGGUUUCUUAAAUUCCGUGGAUUAAAAUUGCCAGACACUACAUAUUCUUGGGUAAAUAAAAGCAUGAAUCUCGAGGAAUGCAGGGCUAAAUGCUUACAGAACUGUUCUUGCACGGCGUAUACAAGCUUUGAUAUUCGAGAAGGAGACAGUGGUUGCGCCAUUUGGUUUAACGAUUUGAUUGACAUUAGAGAAAUUUCCAGUGGUGGACAGGAUCUAUACGUAAGGAUGUCUGCUUCUGAAUUAGCUGACAUUCAGGAUGCGAAACAUGAAGUUGACAAGAAGAUACUGGUGAUAAUCAUCCUUGCUAUUGCUGUGAUUUCUGGGAUUGUAGUUGUCAUCUACUGCUCCCGCAAGAGCAUGUCAAAGUUUAUAGAUCAAGCAGAAAAGAAAGAAGAAAUUGACUACUCUGAAUGCUUAGAGGAAGAUAUGGAGCUCCCAUUAUUUGAUCUUGCCAUCAUAUCACAUGCAACCAAUAAAUUUUCCGACAGCAAUAAACUAGGAGAAGGAGGCUUCGGACCUGUUUACAAGGUAAAUUGCCACCUGCAGGCACAAUCAAUGACCAUGAGACCAUAUAUUUCAUCUUUAGACACCUGUAAUUUUUCCAGGGUACACUAAUGGAUGGAAAAGAAAUUGCUGUGAAGAGGCUGUCAAAGAAUUCCGGACAGGGGCUAAAGGAGUUCAAAAAUGAAGUUAAAUUGAUUGUGAAACUUCAGCACCGAAAUCUUGUAAAGCUUCUU
RNAcentral lists this unclassified non-coding RNA (1936 nucleotides) under Hevea brasiliensis (rubber tree). Lineage: Eukaryota; Viridiplantae; Streptophyta; Magnoliopsida; Malpighiales; Euphorbiaceae. The record is from RNAcentral.